GAGCGAACAGAGAAGGAGCUUGCUCCUUCGACGUUAGCGGCGGACGGGUGAGUACACGUGGGCAACCUACCUUAUAGUUUGGGAUACUCCGGGAAACCGGGGCUAAUACCGAAUAAUCUAUUUUACUUCAUGGUGAAAUACUGAAAGACGGUUUCGGCUGUCGCUAUAAGAUGGGCCCGCGGCGCAUUAGCUAGUUGGUGAGGUAACGGCUCACCAAGGCGACGAUGCGUAGCCGACCUGAGAGGGUGAUCGGCCACACUGGGACUGAGACACGGCCCAGACUCCUACGGGAGGCAGCAGUAGGGAAUCUUCCACAAUGGGCGAAAGCCUGAUGGAGCAACGCCGCGUGAGUGAAGAAGGUUUUCGGAUCGUAAAACUCUGUUGUAAGGGAAGAACAAGUACAGUAGUAACUGGCUGUACCUUGACGGUACCUUAUUAGAAAGCCACGGCUAACUACGUGCCGGCAGCCGCGGUAAU
Molecule: ribosomal RNA, 477 nt
Filed under: uncultured bacterium
Lineage: Bacteria
Description: bacterial SSU rRNA
Rfam family: Bacterial small subunit ribosomal RNA
Source: RNAcentral